AUACGUAGGUGGCAAGCGUUGUCCGGAAUUAUUGGGCGUAAAGCGCGCGCAGGCGGAAUAAUAAGUCUGUCGUGAAAGUGCGGGGCUCAACCCCGUGAUUGCAAUGGAAACUGUUAUUCUUGAGUGCAGGAGAGGAAAGUGGAAUUCCUAGUGUAGCGGUGAAAUGCGUAGAUAUUAGGAGGAACACCAGUGGCGAAGGCGACUUUCUGGACUGUGUCUGACGCUGAGGCGCGAAAGCCAGGGUAGUGAACGGGAUUAGAUACCCCGGUAAUCCUGGCCGUAAACGAUGGGUACUAGGUGUAGGGGGUAUCGACCCCCCCUGUGCCGGAGCUAACGCAAUAAGUACCCCGCCUGGGGAGUACGGCCGCAAGGUUGAA
This 377-nucleotide ribosomal RNA is filed under the name uncultured bacterium. Its description in RNAcentral is "bacterial SSU rRNA". It matches the Rfam family "Bacterial small subunit ribosomal RNA", at positions 523 to 898 of the family's 1533-position model. The record is from RNAcentral.